Long non-coding RNA from Homo sapiens (human), 1237 nucleotides. Ensembl annotates it as SDHA pseudogene 4. Its record names the gene SDHAP4. Lineage: Eukaryota; Metazoa; Chordata; Mammalia; Primates; Hominidae. The record is from Ensembl.
CCCGGCCGUGGUGCGCAGGCGCAGUCUGCGCAGGGACUGGCGGGACUGCGCGGAGGCGACUGCAGACGUAUCGGGGGUCCGGAGCCUGUCGCGGCUGCUAAGCGCUCGGCGCCUGGCGCUGGCGCUGGCCAAGGCUUGGCCAACAGUGUUGCAAACAGGAACCCGAGGUGUUCACUUCACUGUUGAAGGAACGAGAGGGCAUCUGCUAAAGUUUCAGAUUCCAUUUCUGCUCAGUAUCCAGUAGUGGAUCAUGAAUUUGAUGCAGUGGUGGUAGGCGCUGGAGGGGCAGGCUUUGCGAGCUGCAUUUGGCCUUUCCGAGGCAGAGUUUGAUACAGCAUGUGUUACCAAGCUGUUUCCUACCAGGUCACACACUGUUGCAGCGCAGGUUGGAAUCAAUGCUGCUCUGGGGAACAUGGAGGAGGACAACUGGAGGUGGCAUUUCUAUGACACCGUGAAGGGCUCCGACUGGCUGGGGGACCAGGAUGCCAUCCACUACGUGACGGAGCAGGCCCCCACUGCCAUGGUCGAGCUAGAAAAUUAUGGCAUGCCGUUUAGCAGAACUGAAGAUGGGAAGAUUUAUCAGCGUGCAUUUGGUGGACAGAGCCUCAAGUUUGGAAAGGGCAGGCAGGCCCAUCGGUGCUGCUGUGUGGCUGAUCGGACCGGCCACUCAAUAUUGCACACCUCAUAUGGGAGGUCUCUGAGAUAUGAUACCAGCUGUUUUGUGGAGUAUUUUGCCUUGGAUCUCCUGAUAGAGAACAGGGAGUGCCGUGGUGUCAUUGCACUGUGCAUAGAGGACGGGUCCAUCCAUCACAUAAGAGCAAAGAACACUGUUGUUGCCACAGGAGUCAAGAAACUUUUCUUUUGAGCUAUUGACAGCUUUUAACAAGUUAUUAUACUCCUAUGAACAAAAUUUGGAGCAUAUUUGUUUCUCUCUGCCUGAUUUCUCCUGAAUUUGGAAACUAUUUUGCCAUGGUCUCCAUGAACUGAUUUUUUUGUGCAGUGGGCAGGAAGAACCCAUCGGGCAGCUACACAUCUUGAAAGAGAAGCUCUUCCUGUGAGAUUGUUUGCUGUUGGCAUAUACAAAUGCUAGAGAUUUUUGUAUGUUGAUUUUGUAUCCUGCAACUUUGCUGAAAUUUGUUUACCAGUUCUAAUAGUUCUUUGGUGGAGUCUUCAGCUUUUUCCAAAUAUAAGAUCAUAUCAUCUGCAAACAAAGAUAAUUUGACUUCUUCCAUUCUAA